This 424-nucleotide ribosomal RNA is filed under the name uncultured Synechococcus sp. RNAcentral's name for it is "bacterial SSU rRNA". It matches the Rfam family "Bacterial small subunit ribosomal RNA", at positions 356 to 795 of the family's 1533-position model. The record is from RNAcentral. Lineage: Bacteria; Bacillati; Cyanobacteriota; Cyanophyceae; Synechococcales; Synechococcaceae.
GGGGAAUUUUCCGCAAUGGGCGCAAGCCUGACGGAGCAACGCCGCGUGAGGGAUGAAGGCCUCUGGGCUGUAAACCUCUUUUAUCAAGGAAGAAGAUCUGACGGUACUUGAUGAAUAAGCCACGGCUAAUUCCGUGCCAGCAGCCGCGGUAAUACGGGAGUGGCAAGCGUUAUCCGGAAUUAUUGGGCGUAAAGCGUCCGCAGGCGGUUUUACAAGUCUGUCGUUAAAACGUGGAGCUCAACUCCAUUUCGGCGAUGGAAACUGUAAGACUAGAGUGUGGUAGGGGCAGAGGGAAUUCCCGGUGUAGCGGUGAAAUGCGUAGAUAUCGGGAAGAACACCAGUGGCGAAGGCGCUCUGCUGGGCCAUAACUGACGCUCAUGGACGAAAGCUAGGGGAGCGAAAGGGAUUAGAUACCCCUGUAGUC